AGGCAGGCCUGAUGAACAAAGCGCAGGGUCCCUGUGCAGCGACAUGGUGUGAUGAGGGGACUUUCAUCAUCGCCCUCACAGUGACAGAUCCUGACAGGAAGGACAGCAAGACUUUCUGUCUGUUGAUUGUGUGAGCACUCCUCUACCUGAAUAUUUCAGAAUAUGCGAGAUCAUGAAUUUGAAGAAAAACUCACCACAGAUCAUGAAUCAAUUAGGUGCAACGACCUGUUCUGAAAACCAGAAACUAUGGCCUAUACUGAAUUGGUAGUAAUGCUGCCUAAAUGACCAUAUUAACACUGGCUGUUCAAAGCGCAUCUCCACUGACAGUGAGCCUGGGGGCACACACUUGUCAAAAGCUUUCAACUUUCCUCAGUUAAACAUGUCUGCCUGGAAAGUUUGCAUGCACACCCAAAAGGCUCAUCCUUGAAAAGAAAGCCUGACAAACAGUGCCUGAGUAAUUAUAAUAAAAUUCAAUGGGUCAAGAAGACAGAUAAAAGACAAGUCCACUUUUCAUCUCAAAGCAAAGUCAAAGUUUGGUGACUUGGGCAACAGUUAGGAUUAAUCUACAUGAGACAAUUACAAAACUUUAAUUUUUAUCUAUUUAUAGAUAUUACAAAACUUUAAUAUAUAUAUAUAAAAAACACUGUACAGUGAAGCCCAUAUAAAGACCCAUGCUGAAUAUUUUUUUCAGGUUUUAGGUAGCUUAGAUUCUUAAUAAUUAUUA
Long non-coding RNA from Pseudopipra pipra, 724 nucleotides. RefSeq lists it as uncharacterized. NCBI's taxonomy places the organism in Eukaryota, Metazoa, Chordata, Aves, Passeriformes, Pipridae. The record is from RefSeq and is a predicted model, not a curated record. The transcript has 3 exons.